This 241-nucleotide unclassified non-coding RNA is filed under the name uncultured Basidiomycota. RNAcentral's name for it is "sequence contains ITS2". The record is from RNAcentral. Lineage: Eukaryota; Fungi; Basidiomycota.
AUCCCUCAAACCCCAAUGUUUUGUAAAAGACUCAUUGCUUGGGUUUGGUUUUUGGGCCCAAUCCAUUGCCGACUUGAUUGUUUCGGCUGGCCUUAAAUACAUGAGCUGGACUUUGAAUAUCAAAGGGUCGCCUGAUUAAUAUGAUAAGUAUUAUGUUGACUGGGCCGACCUUUAUAUUGAUUUACAAGUCCGCUUCUAAUCCGGCGCGGUGAUUAAUAACCACCAACCCAAUUCAUUUCAA